CCCUCCGGGCUGCUUCUCUCUAAUCCACAGGGAGCCUAGCCCCUGGGACGCCCUCCUGCCCCCGGCUUUCCCUCCCGCACGAAGCGAUGCCCUGAGCACCCCAGGCCGGCCGCGCAGGCGUGGGCAGGAGGCUGCGGCGACUCCGCCAUUGCGCUGGGGCCCGGGGCGCACCACAGCAGCGGGGGCGAUCAACCAGCUGGCGGCCUUUCUAGCCGCGUCCGAUCGGCCCUCUCCUGCUGCCUCCAGACAGGAAACAUCAGGCACAUUCACAAAUCGGCCGGCUCGAAACCCAGGAGGAGGCGUUAAUUACAGAGUUACGGAUUUGAGCUUUCCCAUUACCCUACAUAGUGACACAGACCACAGUCCUGUUCAAGCCUCACAAGCAGAUGAUACUUCCUUGAACCCACCAGGGUGCCUCCACAGAGCUGCCAAUCCUGUCAUCAUGAAAACAAUGAUAAACGCCAUUCUAAGUAUCCAGUGAUGGCCCAUGCUCUGCCAUUUAACCCGCUGUUCAAUGAGCCCCGGUGAACACGUCCGCAGCUGCUCUUGGAAGCAGGAGAAUCCGUCCCUGACGAUAGCCGGGACUUGCACCUUGGCCCAUGCCAAUUAGAUUUUUGUAUCAUAUUCUUCAAACCCAUGUUCAUCAGCAACAUGAUUACAGUCAAAACAAUCAUUAUUGCAAACAGUAAUUUGUGUAGUCGGUGAUAACUCCAGCAAGAUAAUAUGUGUAAUAAACAUCAUCUUUGUGAAUAACAAUUACACAAAAAGCACAAACACAUCCAAGACAUGUUACGAGGCUCAAAUCCACAUGCUGGCUCUUCCGGGAGAAGAAUCAUAGCAAACUAUGAAUUUUCUUUCUAUUUACACAUCUGGUCCCAAAGCUAAUGGUUGGUAUGCUUGCCUUGUUAUAAGAUUUAGAAUUACAAGCUAUUUAUAACAUGCAUAUGAAGCUGAUAAAUUAUAAUAUGGGCCAAAAAAGAUACGUUUCCAUGUAGACAUCUCCAUUCAAGACAGAAAUAUAUAACUGAACAAAUACUUCUUCACCAGAAUGGAAGUGAACCCAAAGUAGGUAAAUAGUCUUUGUAUCGGUUUCCUGUGACUGCGCUAACAAAUUACCACACAUUGGAGGCUUAAAACAAGAUGAAUGUGCCCUCUGACCGGAGUUCAGGAGGCCAGAAGUCUGAAAUCAGUCUCGCUGGCCAGAAAUCAGGGUGUCUGCCUGGAUGCUUCUUCCAGAGGCGUUUGGAUUUACUGGAGCAAAGACAAACUUCACGCCGUGGGCUCAUGCCUGGUCCUGAAGACGGGGCUGGAUUGGCAGUGCGGAGCCCUGAGCCUGAGUCUCA
RNAcentral lists this long non-coding RNA (1343 nucleotides) under Equus caballus (horse). RNAcentral's name for it is "lncRNA (ENSECAG00000056963.1)". The record is from RNAcentral. Lineage: Eukaryota; Metazoa; Chordata; Mammalia; Perissodactyla; Equidae.